Molecule: ribosomal RNA, 253 nt
Filed under: uncultured bacterium
Lineage: Bacteria
Description: partial 16S ribosomal RNA
Rfam family: Bacterial small subunit ribosomal RNA
Source: RNAcentral
UACGGAGGGAGCUAGCGUUGUUCGGAAUUACUGGGCGUAAAGCGCACGUAGGCGGCUUUGUAAGUUAGAGGUGAAAGCCUGGGGCUCAACCCCAGAAUUGCCUUUAAGACUGCAUCGCUUGUAUCCAGGAGAGGUGAGUGGAAUUCCGAGUGUAGAGGUGAAAUUCGUAGAUAUUCGGAAGAACACCAGUGGCGAAGGCGGCUCACUGGACUGGUAUUGACGCUGAGGUGCGAAAGCGUGGGGAGCAAACAGG